UACGUAGGUGGCGAGCGUUAUCCGGAUUUACUGGGCGUAAAGCGCUUGUAGGCGGCUCUGUAAGUUGGACGUGAAAGCUCCGGGCUUAACUCGGAGAGGCCGUUCAAUACUGCAGGGCUAGAGGAUGUCAGAGGAAGGUGGAAUUCCUGGUGUAGCGGUGAAAUGCGUAGAUAUCAGGAGGAACACCCGUGGCGAAGGCGGCCUUCUGGGGCAUUCCUGACGCUGAGAAGCGAAAGCUAGGGGAGCAAACAGG
RNAcentral lists this ribosomal RNA (253 nucleotides) under uncultured bacterium. Its description in RNAcentral is "partial 16S ribosomal RNA". It matches the Rfam family "Bacterial small subunit ribosomal RNA", at positions 524 to 776 of the family's 1533-position model. The record is from RNAcentral.